Molecule: ribosomal RNA, 625 nt
Filed under: uncultured soil bacterium
Lineage: Bacteria
Description: bacterial SSU rRNA
Rfam family: Bacterial small subunit ribosomal RNA
Source: RNAcentral
GCAUUAAGUACUCCGCCUGGGGAGUACGCUCGCAAGAGUGAAACUCAAAGGAAUGACGGGGACCCGCACAAGUAGCGGAGCAUGUGGUUUAAUUCGAAGCAACGCGAAGAACCUUACNUAAGCUUGACAUCCCAAUGACCUCUCCCUAAUCGGAGAUUUCCCUUCGGGGACAUUGGUGACAGGUGGUGCAUGGUUGUCGUCAGCUCGUGUCGUGAGAUGUUGGGUUAAGUCCCGCAACGAGCGCAACCCUUGUCUUUAGUUGCCAUCAUUAAGUUGGGCACUCUAGAGAGACUGCCAGGGAUAACCUGGAGGAAGGUGGGGAUGACGUCAAAUCAUCAUGCCCCUUAUGCUUAGGGCUACACACGUGCUACAAUGGGUGGUACAGAGGGCUGCUAAACCGUAAGGUCAUGCCAAUCCCUUAAAGCCAUUCUCAGUUCGGAUUGUGGGCUGAAACUCGCCCACAUGAAGCUGGAGUUACUAGUAAUCGCAGAUCAGAAUGCUGCGGUGAAUGCGUUCCCGGGUCUUGUACACACCGCCCGUCACACCACGGAAGUUGGAAACACCCGAAGCCGAUUAUCUAACCCUUGGGAGGAAGUCGUCGAAGGUGGCAUCAAUAACUGGGGUG